UACGUAGGGUGCAAGCGUUGUUCGGAAUUAUUGGGCGUAAAGCGCGUGUAGGCGGUUCGCUAAGUCCGGCGUGAAAGCCCCGGGCUUAACUCCGGAAGUGCACUGGAUACUGGCGAGCUAGAGGACGGGAGAGGGAAGUGGAAUUCCUGGUGUAGGGGUGAAAUCCGUAGAUAUCAGGAGGAACAUCGGUGGCGAAGGCUGCUUCCUGGUCCGUUACUGACGCUCAGACGCGAAAGCAUGGGUAGCAAACAGG
RNAcentral lists this ribosomal RNA (253 nucleotides) under uncultured bacterium. RNAcentral's name for it is "partial 16S ribosomal RNA". It matches the Rfam family "Bacterial small subunit ribosomal RNA", at positions 524 to 776 of the family's 1533-position model. The record is from RNAcentral.